GGAUUGUGGCUCAGUGGUACAGUGCUUGCCUAGCACAUGUGAGGCACUGGGUUCAAUCCUCAGCACCA
This 68-nucleotide transfer RNA is filed under the name Marmota monax (woodchuck). RNAcentral's name for it is "tRNA.Ala". The record is from RNAcentral. Lineage: Eukaryota; Metazoa; Chordata; Mammalia; Rodentia; Sciuridae.